Cavia porcellus (domestic guinea pig) is the source of this 853-nucleotide long non-coding RNA. The record is from Ensembl. NCBI's taxonomy places the organism in Eukaryota, Metazoa, Chordata, Mammalia, Rodentia, Caviidae.
CUUGUAUAAACCCUAACUCCAGCUUCCACAGGCAACCAUGGGAUGUGCAACUCACAUGACACCACUGAGUUUAAGGUUUCUUGCCUUACUCAUCAGUAAUUUCUGUGUCCUCAUGGCCUGGGGCUGCACAGCUCAGAUCUUAGAAGGCAGCUAGCGGUUGUGAUCUCAAAGCCCCAUCUCAGCCCUGUACACACUGCUCUGCCUGUCCAGCAUCAUGAAGACCCUCGUGGUUGGCCUCUUGGUCCUCCUCUGCACAAUGAUGCUCUGCUCCUGUGAACAAGAUAAGACUCAUCACCCGUCUGACUGCUGCAUUUCCUUCGUCACCCAUCAGAUCCCCAAGAAUCAAGUGGUAGCCUAUAUAAGACCAAUGGCCUGUGCAUCAAACACGGUGUUAUAUUUCUGACCAAAACUAGAAAGUAUAUCUGCGCCAACCCCAGUGACCACUGGGUCCAGGACUACAUUAGGAAGCUGGACAGGAGUUCUUGAAGGAUCCAGCAAGAAUCAGUGACUGGAAGAUGGAGAGCCAAGGCAAUGAACCUGCAAUGCACAACUUAUCUCUCCUGUGGGGCCCUCCCUACUCCACUAACCUGUUUCUAAUGAGUUAAACAACUUAAAUUUAAAUCCUGUUACUCACCUGAUGUUUCCCCCAGCAGUUAAACAGCACCCUCUUACUCCUUGGCCCUUUCCCAGUCAUUCACACAGUGGCUGACUGAUAAUUAUGAAAGACUGUGCUCCAUUCUCCAGGAUUAGAGCAAACCUAUCAGCCGAUGCUUACUGAGUUUUUAGGAGCCCUUUAUGCUAUCCCAACCAGUGUCAGAAUAAUAAAAAGUAUUCUUCUAUUCUGAAGUAAACU